This 463-nucleotide ribosomal RNA is filed under the name uncultured bacterium. Its description in RNAcentral is "partial 16S ribosomal RNA". It matches the Rfam family "Bacterial small subunit ribosomal RNA", at positions 28 to 507 of the family's 1533-position model. The record is from RNAcentral.
GAUGAACGCUGACAGAAUGCUUAACACAUGCAAGUCUUUGGCGAAUCUGUGCUUGCACAGCCUAGCCAAGGCGGACGGGUGAGUAACGCGUAAGGAACUUGCCCUGCAGUCAGGGAUAACAGACGGAAACGACUGAUAAGACCUGGUAAAGUCAGGCGGACUCAUGUCCAGCCUGAUGAAAAGAGAUGCUGCAGGAGAGCCUUGCGUCCUAUUAGCUUGUUGGUGGGGUAACGGCCCACCAAGGCGAUGAUAGGUAGCCGGCCUGAGAGGGUGGACGGCCACAAGGGGACUGAGAUACGGCCCUUACUCCUACGGGGGGCAGCAGUGGGGAAUAUUGGACAAUGGGGGCAACCCUGAUCCAGCAAUUCUGUGUGCACGAUGAAGGUUUUCGGAUUGUAAAGUGCUUUCAGCAGGGAAGAAAAAAAUGACGGUACCUGCAGAAGAAGCGACGGCUAAAUACGUG